This 396-nucleotide ribosomal RNA is filed under the name uncultured bacterium. RNAcentral describes it as "partial 16S ribosomal RNA". It matches the Rfam family "Bacterial small subunit ribosomal RNA", at positions 523 to 918 of the family's 1533-position model. The record is from RNAcentral.
AUACGUAGGGGGCAAGCGUUAUCCGGAUUUACUGGGUGUAAAGGGAGCGUAGACGGCGAAGCAAGUCUGAAGUGAAAGGACGGGGCCCAACCCCGGAACUGCUUUGGAAACUGUUUGGCUGGAGUGCGGGAGGGGUAAGCGGAAUUCCUAGUGUAGCGGUGAAAUGCGUAGAUAUUAGGAGGAACACCGGUGGCGAAGGCGGCGUACUGGACCGUAACUGACGUUGAGGCUCGAAGGCGUGGGGAGCAAACAGGAUUAGAUACCCUGGUAGUCCACGCGGUAAACGAUGAUCACUAGGUGUCCGUGGGUAUGACCCAUGGGUGCCGCAGCCAACGCAAUAAGUGAUCCACCUGGGGAGUACGUUCGCAAGAAUGAAACUCAAAUGAAUUGACGGGG